RNAcentral lists this ribosomal RNA (613 nucleotides) under Aeribacillus pallidus. Its description in RNAcentral is "bacterial SSU rRNA". It matches the Rfam family "Bacterial small subunit ribosomal RNA", at positions 79 to 674 of the family's 1533-position model. The record is from RNAcentral. Lineage: Bacteria; Bacillati; Bacillota; Bacilli; Caryophanales; Bacillaceae.
CUUGCUCCUUUAGGUUAGCGGCGGACGGGUGAGUAACACGUGGGCAACCUGCCCUGCAGACUGGGAUAACUUCGGGAAACCGGAGCUAAUACCGGAUAACACCGAAAACCGCAUGGGUUUUCGGUUGAAAGGCGGCUUUUAGCUGUCACUGCAGGAUGGGCCCGCGGCGCAUUAGCUAGUUGGUGAGGUAACGGCUCACCAAGGCGACGAUGCGUAGCCGACCUGAGAGGGUGACCGGCCACACUGGGACUGAGACACGGCCCAGACUCCUACGGGAGGCAGCAGUAGGGAAUCUUCCGCAAUGGACGAAAGUCUGACGGAGCAACGCCGCGUGAGCGAAGAAGGUCUUCGGAUCGUAAAGCUCUGUUGUCAGGGAAGAACAAGUACCGUUCGAACAGGGCGGUACCUUGACGGUACCUGACGAGGAAGCCACGGCUAACUACGUGCCAGCAGCCGCGGUAAUACGUAGGUGGCAAGCGUUGUCCGGAAUUAUUGGGCGUAAAGCGCGCGCAGGCGGUUCCUUAAGUCUGAUGUGAAAUCUCGCGGCUCAACCGCGAGCGGCCAUUGGAAACUGGGGAACUUGAGUGCAGGAGAGGGGAGCGGAAUUCCACGU